RNAcentral lists this ribosomal RNA (422 nucleotides) under uncultured bacterium. Its description in RNAcentral is "bacterial SSU rRNA". It matches the Rfam family "Bacterial small subunit ribosomal RNA", at positions 357 to 776 of the family's 1533-position model. The record is from RNAcentral.
AGGAAUAUUGGUCAAUGGGCGGGAGCCUGAACCAGCCAAGUCGCGUGAGGGAAGACGGUCCUACGGAUUGUAAACCUCUUUUGCCGGGGAGCAACGGGGUCCUUGCGAGGGCCCAAUGAGAGUACCCGGAGAAAAAGCAUCGGCUAACUCCGUGCCAGCAGCCGCGGUAAUACGGAGGAUGCGAGCGUUAUCCGGAUUUAUUGGGUUUAAAGGGUGCGUAGGCGGUUACUUAAGUCAGCGGUCAAAUGGCGGGGCUCAACCCCGUCCAGCCGUUGAAACUGGGUAGCUUGAGUCGGCGAGAAGUACGCGGAAUGCGCGGUGUAGCGGUGAAAUGCAUAGAUAUCGCGCAGAACUCCGAUUGCGAAGGCAGCGUACCGGCGCCGCACUGACGCUGAGGCACGAAAGCGUGGGUAUCGAACAGG